This 440-nucleotide ribosomal RNA is filed under the name uncultured bacterium. Its description in RNAcentral is "partial 16S ribosomal RNA". It matches the Rfam family "Bacterial small subunit ribosomal RNA", at positions 338 to 795 of the family's 1533-position model. The record is from RNAcentral.
CCUACGGGCGGCAGCAGUGGGGAAUAUUGCACAAUGGGGGAAACCCUGAUGCAGCGACGCCGCGUGAGCGAUGAAGUAUUUCGGUAUGUAAAGCUCUAUCAGCAGGGAAGAAAAUGACGGUACCUGACUAAGAAGCCCCGGCUAACGACGUGCCAGCAGCCGCGGUAAUCCGUAGGGGGCAAGCGUUAGCCGGAUUUACGGGGUGUAAAGGGAGCGUAGACGGUCUUGCAAGCCAGAGGUGAAAGCCCGGGGCCCAACCCCGGGACUGCAUUUGGAACUGUAAGGCUAGAGUGUCGGAGAGGCAGGCGGAAUUCCUAGUGUAGCGGUGAAAUGCGUAGAUAUUAGGAGGAACACCAGUGGCGAAGGCGGCCUGCUGGACGAUGACUGACGUUGAGGCUCGAAAGCGUGGGGAGCAAACAGGAUUAGAUACCCUUGUAGUC